Molecule: non-coding RNA, 4663 nt
Organism: Physcomitrium patens
Lineage: Eukaryota; Viridiplantae; Streptophyta; Bryopsida; Funariales; Funariaceae
Source: RefSeq, a predicted model, not a curated record
CAAUGAAUGCUGUAUGUGUGUGAGUGUGUGUGUGUGUGCUCUCAUGGCCAUCGUCGUCGCCAUUGCUGUUGCUUGCUCGCUCGCUCGAUUGCUUGCUUGCUUGCUGCCGUUGUCGUGGUCGCUGUCCGUCACGUACUUCGUACGGUGACCUCAUUGAUUUUUUUUUUUUUUUUUUUUUUUUUUUUCCAACUCUGAUGGCCCCAGCGCCUACUGCUACACGCCCGACCAUUGCAGCGUGAUAGUGUGUCAAUCUGGAACAGUGUGACGAGAGCUUCUUUUCCGCUUUUUUACUUUCUAUAUGGUUGAAAGUAGACAGUGCAAUUUAUUGAGUUCGGGCGGGAGGUUGGAUGCGGCGGUUUUUGGAGAUUUUCGAAGGAUUGGGGAUCGAUAACAGACAGUGGAUGGCUUUGAGUUAGGCAAUUGGCACUGGGUUCUUUUUGUAUUGUGGAGCGAGUGGCAUUAUUGAUUCUUGUAGGUCGAGCUGGAUGUGGAUGAUGAUGAUGAUGAUCAUCGUCGUUGUUAUCAAGGUUUGAUGGCCUCUUGGUAGGUAAGGUCAUUUCUACUGCGGCUGCAGCUGCAGUUCUGUUCUCAGGACAAACUCUCCAGGUUCCUUCCGGGUGCCGGAGUAGCAUUUCGGAGGGCCUCUGUUGAGGUUUUGGUUGCAGAAUACUUGGCUUUAUUUUGGUGGCUCAUAUUUCGUCCUUCUGUGUGAUGCUGAUAGAGUGGCCUUAGUAUCUGCAAUUUGAUUACUGCUUGUUUGAUAGCCAUAGCAGAAAUCUUUGGAGGAACGUUUUGGGAAGAACUUCCAGUUUUAAGCAAAUACCUGGUGUAGAGCUUGGCUGAAACUCUGAAGAGCGGACAAGUAACAAGAUUUGAAGCUAUGGCAGCUGUGACGGAUCAUGGAUAGAAAUCAGAAUUCGCAUUUCAGUGACGUUGUGAUGGUUAUGCUUAAAUUGGGUACUUGACGGCUUUCAGAGUGGCGAAGUACUCCCUCAGCAGGUUCAGCUGACGGUUUAUUCCUGAUUUUGUAACCUUCAGAGCUGGUACUAAAUAAAUAACAAUCCAUGUGCAUAAAGCGAAGCUUCUUGUGCUUAAACUGUCCCUGAAGGGUAAUUCCAGUUGACUGUUUUCAGACACUCGGACAGAACCUCGCAUAUGAGCAGCUGCAAGCGUGACUGAAAAAUGAAAAACAGAUUUAUGCUGCGGGUGUCUACGACUGACCUUCACUUCUUCUUCAAAUUGAUCGUUAUUAUCAACUUGUGGGCACAAGGCACGGAGCCUGUGGUGUCUCAACAAUCCAGCAACAAUACAGAGAUUACCAUACCCCUCGGAGAAAGGCUCGUCGCAGGUGAUGCUGAUCAGUCUUGGAUAUCAUCACCCAACGGAAAUUUUUCCUUUGGCUUCUAUGCUAUUGACGGUGGAAAGACUACAGUUAGCUACAAGUUUGGCAUGUGGUAUACGCAUGUACCUGUACAAACAAUCGUGUGGGGAUUAGUGGAGAACAAUGCUUCGUUCGCUGCUGGGACAAAGUUAGCACUCACCUCCACCGGAAAUCUCGAGCUUCGUAACUCGGAUGCCUCUCAAGGUCUUAAUUGGUCCAGCAAUACGGCCAGCCUUGGCGUCAGUGGGGCGGCCUUCAAUGAUUCAGGGAAUUUUAUUCUGUUAAAUAGCACUGGUUCACAUCUAUGGCAGAGCUGGAAUCACCCUUCAGACACUCUUCUGCCAGGCCAGGUUUUGUCUCAGGGGAAAAAUCUCACGGCUGCCGAGAGCCCUCACCUUUCAAGUGCAGGCGUGAGCCGGUAUACACUUGCUUUCAUGACAGACGGGAAUUUGGUGCUGCGUUUUAAUAGAACAACUGAUUAUUGGAGUACCGAUUCCUCAGGGGGCUCUAGUGUUUCCUUUGAUGAGUUCGGAACUUUUCAAUUGCUGAAUAGCUCAGGAUCUGCAGCUUCGUACCGGAGCAGAGACUACGGGGUAGGGCCACUUAGAAGGUUGGUUCUGACAUCGAAUGGAAAUUUAGAGACUUUGAGUUGGGAUGAUGUGGCGAAGGAAUGGAUGUCAAAAUGGCAAGCUUUACCUAAUGCAUGUGAGAUUUACGGCUGGUGUGGGAAGCAUGGACUGUGUGCGUAUUCAGAGACGGGGCCUGUUUGCUCUUGUUUGCCAGGUUAUCAGGCUAUCAAUUCCAACAGCCCACGAGAAGGGUGCCGUUUGAUGAUCGCCCUCAAUUGCACCGCAGGAGUGAAAAUGGUGACGCUGGAGAAUACAUUCAUACUUGAUUACAGAUCCGACUUCCUCAUAAACAGUGCUAACAGUGAGAGUUGUGCUAAAAAGUGUUUAGACGAUACGGGCGCUGGGGGCACCUUGCAAUGUGUGGCUUCCACUUUAAUGAAUGACGGCACCGCUUUCUGCAAGGAGAAACGUAAUCAAUUCUUCAGCGCUUACCGGUCCUCCAUCAUUCCAUCCCAGACUUUUGUCAAGCUUUGCAAUGACCAGGAGGUAACGCUGGGAUUGCUAUCCAUUGGCUGCACUCGCUCUGGUUCUCGAUAUUCCAGAGGAGUUUUGGUGGCUCUAGGUUGCGUUUCCACCCUAGCGGUCCUUCUUUUGCUGCUACUUGCACGGCCAUGUUUGUCUCGGUGGAUGAAAUCGAAUGCAUUCGAGCACAGCAGAAGACGCCCUCGGUCGCCAUCUCCUGAUUAUGUGCCUGGUGCGCCAGUAAGACUAACGUACCGGGAGCUUCAAAAGGCUACCAGGAAUUUUAGCGAAAAGCUGGGGGAUGGUGGAUUCGGGACAGUGUACAAGGGUGUGCUUGCAGACGGCACAGUCGUAGCUGUGAAACAAUUGGAGAAUGUUGUUGACCAAGGUGAACGAGAGUUUCGAACUGAAGUUUCAGUAAUUGGCAGUACGCAUCAUGUUAAUUUGGUCCACCUCCAUGGUUACUGCACAGAGAGAGUGCACAGAUUGCUGGUUUACGAAUAUCUAAGCAAAGGCUCACUGGACCACUAUCUUGUGCAAGGAGGUGAACCAAAUACUACCUCGAGCAGCUCCUCAAGUAGCAGGAGCGCGACUUCUCAACCUCCAAUACCGUUGGAUUGGAAGACACGAUUCACAAUAGCACUCGGAACAGCACGCGGCAUCAUGUACUUGCACGAGGAGUGCCGUGAAUGUAUCGUACAUUGCGACAUCAAGCCCGAGAACAUACUCUUGGACGAAACCUUCUGUCCCAAAGUUUCCGAUUUUGGCUUGGCGAAGCUUUUAGGGCUAAGGAAUCGCGAGCGCCACAUAACCACCAUUCGAGGCACCAGGGGAUAUCUUGCGCCGGAAUGGAGCGCAAGUUUACCACUGACGGCCAAGGCAGAUGUAUACAGCUAUGGUAUGGUUCUCCUUGAGCUUGUGGUUGGAAGGAGGACACUGGAUGACAUGGCAGGCGAAGCUGAACUCAUCCGGUUUCCCAAGUGGGUCUUUCGGGACAUGAUUGAUGGCAGCCUUGUAAAACGCACUAAAGAGCAAGCUCGGAAGCUCGGACAAUCUGUCGAUUUGGACCAGUUUGAGAGAACCAUUUUCACGGCCUUCUGGUGCAUUCAAGAUGAACCAACGGCGCGACCGAGUAUGGGGAAAGUUGUGCAAAUGCUCGAAGGCAUUAUCCCCGUCGACUUUCCCCUUGAACCACUGAAUAUCCGAAAACUCUGAGGGUCCAGCUGCAGAUGUGGUCUUAAUCCUUAGGUCGACUCGAUAAUGCUAUUUUGAGGAUUCUGCCAUGUACAUUAACUUGACAGGCUUGUGUCGAUCACCUUAAUUUCAGCUACCCCCACAAUUGUCCGAAGUCUAUUCUAUGUACAACAUCAAUGUAGAUCCAUAAAAUUCAGUUCUAGACAUCAAUUCUCAUCGCGACGUCCUGAAACUUCUCACAUGCAAGUGUAGCUCUCAAUGUUCUGGUCUCAAUCUUUUUCACUAUGUGCAACUGGAAAGGAAUUGAAGAAAGUAUCGGAGGUAUAGCAGCCUUUGACCUGGACGUGUCUUCUGCUAUCAUGAGAAGUUUUCAAUCAACCAGAACAUCGUUUUCUGAAGUUACUGUGGAGGUGGUUGUUUUUGUACUGGUUUACUCGAGUUUAUGUAAGGCAGUGUCCACUACUGUUUCAGCGGGUCUGCUUAUCUGGUUCGUCAAGUCUUAGGCACCCUGGUAGUGGCAUGGAAGCAAAGCUCGGCAAAGCCUUUGUAAGGGGACCGACAUCGAAGUAGCCACCAGAAAUCUGAGCAAGCCUGCGGAGUGCAAAGGUAUUGACUCCGACCAUAACCAGGCAUGACAAUGACAUAACAUUUAAGAAAAUCCGGAAUCUGCUAAGGUGGUUUGACACCGAGGGACAACUUGGAGGGGACGAAGGACAAGGCUCUUGGAGUGUUGGACAUCUCAUUUUGCAAUGAUGUCAGUAAGUGUUUCGAUAGCACAGUAUAUUCAAAAGAAAGUUUGGACACAAAGAAGGCAACGCAAGCGGGAGCACAGCAAGUGAGGAUGGACUUCGCGAGUCAUCACAAAUAAGUACGAAAAUUAGAAAAAAGUUAACAAGAAUGUGUCGUCCACAGUAGUCUUGUUAACACGUAAUGAUAUUUUUCUUAAACGUACAAAGUGUUGUCAACAAGUACGAGUAAUCACAUGUUGGCGCUUGAA